This 253-nucleotide ribosomal RNA is filed under the name uncultured bacterium. RNAcentral describes it as "partial 16S ribosomal RNA". It matches the Rfam family "Bacterial small subunit ribosomal RNA", at positions 524 to 776 of the family's 1533-position model. The record is from RNAcentral.
GACGGAGGGGGCUAGCGUUGGUCGGAAUUACUGGUCGUAAAAAGCGCGUAGGCGGAUUAAUAAGUUGGAAGUGAAAGCCCAGGGCUCAACCUUGGAAAUGCUUUCAAAACUGUUAGUCUUGAGUGUAGUAGGGGAUGAUGGAAUUCCUAGUGUAGAGGUGGAAUUCUUAGAUAUUAGGAGGAACACCGGUGGCGAAGGCGGUCAUCUGGGCUACAACUGACGCUGAGGAGCGAAAGCGUGGGGAGCAAACAGG